GCAAGUCGAGCGCGAAAUUACCUUCGGGUAAGAGUAGAGCGGCGGACGGGUGAGUAACGCGUGGGAAUCUACCCAGUAGCGGGGGACAACAGUUGGAAACGGCUGCUAAUACCGCAUACGCCCUACGGGGGAAAGCAGGGGAUCUUCGGACCUUGUGCUAUUGGAUGAGCCCGCGUGAGAUUAGCUAGUUGGUGGGGUAAAGGCCUACCAAGGCGACGAUCCAUAGCUGGUCUGAGAGGAUGAUC
Molecule: ribosomal RNA, 245 nt
Filed under: uncultured bacterium
Lineage: Bacteria
Description: partial 16S ribosomal RNA
Rfam family: Bacterial small subunit ribosomal RNA
Source: RNAcentral